This is a long non-coding RNA of Maniola jurtina (meadow brown), 228 nucleotides long. RefSeq lists it as uncharacterized. The record is from RefSeq and is a predicted model, not a curated record. The transcript has 2 exons. Lineage: Eukaryota; Metazoa; Arthropoda; Insecta; Lepidoptera; Nymphalidae.
CAAAGUAGGUACACGAAAUACUAGCUGGUACUAUUGUAAGUCUUCUUCUUUAUGUGCCUCUCCAUUACUGAAGGUCAGUAGUCAGUUUUUUAAACUUCUCCUUGUCCAUGGCUAGCCGGAAUAGUUCUCCUACUGUUUUUAUGCCAGUCCACUCCCUUAUGUUACGUAGCCAUGACUUCUUCCUUCUUCCCACCCCUCUUUUUCCAGCAAUUUUUCCCAUCAUAAUUA